UCCUACGGGAGGCAGCAGUGGGGAAUAUUGCACAAUGGGCGCAAGCCUGAUGCAGCAACGCCGCGUGAGGGACGACGGCCUUCGGGUUGUAAACCUCUUUUAGUAGGGGAGAAGCGAAAGUGACGGUACCUGCAGAAAAAGCACCGGCUAACUACGUGCCAGCAGCCGCGGUAAUACGUAGGGUGCAAGCGUUAUCCGGAAUUAUUGGGCGUAAAGAGCUCGUAGGCGGUUUGUCGCGUCUGCUGUGAAAACUGGAGGCUCAACCUCCAGCCUGCAGUGGGUACGGGCAGACUAGAGUGCGGUAGGGGAGAUUGGAAUUCCUGGUGUAGCGGUGGAAUGCGCAGAUAUCAGGAGGAACACCGGUGGCGAAGGCGGUUCUCUGGCAAUGUUCUGACGCUGAGGAGCGAAAGUGUGGGGAGCGAACAGGAUUAGAUACCCUGGUAGUCCACACCGUAAACGUUGGGCGCUAGGUGUGGGACACAUUCCACGUGUUCCGUGCCGCAGCUAACGCAUUAAGCGCCCCGCCUGGGGAGUACGGCCGCAAGGCUAAAACUCAAAUGAAUUGACGGA
RNAcentral lists this ribosomal RNA (570 nucleotides) under uncultured bacterium. RNAcentral describes it as "bacterial SSU rRNA". It matches the Rfam family "Bacterial small subunit ribosomal RNA", at positions 337 to 917 of the family's 1533-position model. The record is from RNAcentral.